This 479-nucleotide ribosomal RNA is filed under the name uncultured bacterium. Its description in RNAcentral is "partial 16S ribosomal RNA". It matches the Rfam family "Bacterial small subunit ribosomal RNA", at positions 28 to 507 of the family's 1533-position model. The record is from RNAcentral.
GAUGAACGCUAGCGGGAGGCCUAACACAUGCAAGCCGAGCGGUAUUUGUUCUUCGGAACAGAGAGAGCGGCGCACGGGUGCGGAACACGUGUGCAACCUGCCUUUAUCUGGGGGAUAGCCUUUCGAAAGGAAGAUUAAUACCCCAUAAUAUAUUGAGUGGCAUCAUUUGAUAUUGAAAACUCCGGUGGAUAGAGAUGGGCACGCUCAAGAUUAGAUAGUUGGUGAGGUAACGGCUCACCAAGUCAAUGAUCUUUAGGGGGCCUGAGAGGGUGAUCCCCCACACUGGUACUGAGACACGGACCAGACUCCUACGGGAGGCAGCAGUGAGGAAUAUUGGACAAUGGGUUAGCGCCUGAUCCAGCCAUCCCGCGUGAAGGACGACGGCCCUAUGGGUUGUAAACUUCUUUUGUAUAGGGAUAAACCUACUCUCGUGAGAGUAGCUGAAGGUACUAUACGAAUAAGCACCGGCUAACUCCGUG